GAUGAACGCUGGCGGCGUGCUUAACACAUGCAAGUCGAACGGUGAAGGCGGAGCUUGCUCUGCUGGAUCAGUGGCGAACGGGUGAGUAACACGUGAGCAAUCUGCCCCUGACUCUGGGAUAAGCGCUGGAAACGGCGUCUAAUACUGGAUACGAGCUGCGAAGGCAUCUUCAGCAGCUGGAAAGAAUUUCGGUCAGGGAUGAGCUCGCGGCCUAUCAGCUUGUUGGUGAGGUAAUGGCUCACCAAGGCGUCGACGGGUAGCCGGCCUGAGAGGGUGACCGGCCACACUGGGACUGAGACACGGCCCCGACUCCUACGGGAGGCAGCAGUGGGGAAUAUUGCACAAUGGGCGAAAGCCUGAUGCAGCAACGCCGCGUGAGGGACGACGGCCUUCGGGUUGUAAACCUCUUUUAGCAGGGAAGAAGCGAAAGUGACGGUACCUGCAGAAAAAGCGCCGGCUAACUACGUG
RNAcentral lists this ribosomal RNA (468 nucleotides) under uncultured bacterium. RNAcentral's name for it is "partial 16S ribosomal RNA". It matches the Rfam family "Bacterial small subunit ribosomal RNA", at positions 28 to 507 of the family's 1533-position model. The record is from RNAcentral.